GAUGAACGCUGGCGGCGUGCCUAAUACAUGCAAGUCGAGCGAACAGACGAGGAGCUUGCUCCUCUGACGUUAGCGGCGGACGGGUGAGUAACACGUGGAUAACCUACCUAUAAGACUGGGAUAACUUCGGGAAACCGGAGCUAAUACCGGAUAAUAUAUUGAACCGCAUGGUUCAAUAGUGAAAGACGGUUUUGCUGUCACUUAUAGAUGGAUCCGCGCCGCAUUAGCUAGUUGGUAAGGUAACGGCUUACCAAGGCAACGAUGCGUAGCCGACCUGAGAGGGAGAGGAGCCAGACUGAAACAGAGAUACGGUCGAGACUCCAACGGGAGGCAGCAGUAGGGAAUAUGCGACAAUGGGCGAAAGCCUGAAAAAGCAACGCAGCGUGAGUGAAGAAGGUUUUCGGAUCCUAAAACUCUGUUAUCAGGGAAGAACAAAAAAGUAAGUAACUAUGCACGUCUAGACGGGACCUAAACAGAAGGACACGGCAAACUACGUG
RNAcentral lists this ribosomal RNA (497 nucleotides) under uncultured bacterium. RNAcentral's name for it is "partial 16S ribosomal RNA". It matches the Rfam family "Bacterial small subunit ribosomal RNA", at positions 28 to 507 of the family's 1533-position model. The record is from RNAcentral.